UACGGGGGGGGCAAGCGUUGUUCGGAAUUACUGGGCGUAAAGGGCGCGUAGGCGGCCCGCUUAGUCGGACGUGAAAUCCCUCGGCUCAACCGAGGAACUGCGUCCGAUACUGGCGGGCUCGAAUCCGGGAGAGGGAUGUGGAAUUCCAGGUGUAGAGGUGAAAUUCGUAGAUAUUGGGAGGAACACCGGUGGCGAAGGCGACCACCUGGACAGAGAUUGACGCUGAGGCGCGAGAGCGUGGGGAGCAAACAGG
RNAcentral lists this ribosomal RNA (253 nucleotides) under uncultured bacterium. Its description in RNAcentral is "partial 16S ribosomal RNA". It matches the Rfam family "Bacterial small subunit ribosomal RNA", at positions 524 to 776 of the family's 1533-position model. The record is from RNAcentral.